This 230-nucleotide ribosomal RNA is filed under the name uncultured Alicycliphilus sp. RNAcentral describes it as "partial 16S ribosomal RNA". It matches the Rfam family "Bacterial small subunit ribosomal RNA", at positions 548 to 774 of the family's 1533-position model. Lineage: Bacteria; Pseudomonadati; Pseudomonadota; Betaproteobacteria; Burkholderiales; Comamonadaceae. The record is from RNAcentral.
AGAGAUGCACUGGGUGUAAAGCGUGCGCAGGCGGUUUUGUAAGACAGAGGUGAAAUCCCCGGGCUCAACCUGGGAACUGCCUUUGUGACUGCAAGGCUGGAGUGCGGCAGAGGGGGAUGGAAUUCCGCGUGUAGCAGUGAAAUGCGUAGAUAUGCGGAGGAACACCGAUGGCGAAGGCAAUCCCCUGGGCCUGCACUGACGCUCAUGCACGAAAGCGUCGGGAGCAAACA